CUGGGGAUGUAGCUCAGUGGUAGAGUGCUUACUUAGCAUGUAUGAGGCUCUGGGAUCAAUUCCCAGUACUUGGA
RNAcentral lists this transfer RNA (74 nucleotides) under Marmota monax (woodchuck). RNAcentral describes it as "tRNA.Ala". The stretch from base 8 to 68 matches the Rfam family "tRNA", at positions 6 to 65 of the family's 71-position model. From Rfam's summary of the family: Transfer RNA (tRNA) molecules are approximately 80 nucleotides in length. Their secondary structure includes four short double-helical elements and three loops (D, anti-codon, and T loops). Further hydrogen bonds mediate the characteristic L-shaped molecular structure. tRNAs have two regions of fundamental functional importance: the anti-codon, which is responsible for specific mRNA codon recognition, and the 3' end, to which the tRNAs corresponding amino acid is attached (by aminoacyl-tRNA synthetases). tRNAs cope with the degeneracy of the genetic code in two manners: having more than one tRNA (with a specific anti-codon) for a particular amino acid; and 'wobble' base-pairing, i.e. permitting non-standard base-pairing at the 3rd anti-codon position. The record is from RNAcentral. Lineage: Eukaryota; Metazoa; Chordata; Mammalia; Rodentia; Sciuridae.